This 645-nucleotide long non-coding RNA is filed under the name Centruroides sculpturatus (bark scorpion). Its description in RNAcentral is "uncharacterized LOC111634050, transcript variant X1". Lineage: Eukaryota; Metazoa; Arthropoda; Arachnida; Scorpiones; Buthidae. The record is from RNAcentral.
UUUUAACAUUUUUCGUACAAAUUUUAAUAACGAAAACAGGCGUAACGUAGGAAGAAGUAUCAUUCUCAAGUUUUAUAAUUCACUUUCCAAAGAGACAUGGAAUCAUUUUAAAAAGUUCUUGUGCUCAAAAAUUUAACAAGAAGCAAAACAAAAGCAAGAUUUAACUGAUUGUGAGCACUUAAAGCCAGGAGUUGUGUGACAUCAUUUAGGCUUCUGACAUACCAAUAGAGCAGCUAUGUGACAUCUAUGUAUGAAAAUUACUUUGUAUGAAUGAAAAUCAACUCAAUGGUUAUCUGCUGUACACACCUUUCUUUAGAAAAUGUUGAUAUUGAACUUUGUCACUGCAAUCUUUUAACAAACAUUUCCACUAUGACAAAGAGCAUGCAACAUUUUCUUCUAUAAAUGGUCAGUGAACUACUUUACUUUACUUUUAUAUUCUUGGGACCAUUUUAAUUUUAAAUUUUGUAAAAAUUGGCAUUCGGAGUUUGAUUUGGUUUGAAGUUCAUUUUGGAUUAAUUAGCCCUAUGUUAAUUAAACACAAUAAAAUUAGGUUCAAAUUUUCUUUAUCAUAUUUAAUGUAAUAGAGAUAACUGUAAGAACAGAUUAUAAAGUAUGAAUUAUUGUAAAAUUUAUAUUUUAAAUAAA